This 240-nucleotide unclassified non-coding RNA is filed under the name soil metagenome. Its description in RNAcentral is "partial contains 5.8S ribosomal RNA, internal transcribed spacer 2, and large subunit ribosomal RNA". The record is from RNAcentral.
AACGCACGAGACCUGCGGACCUGCGGAGGGAUCAUUAUCGAAACCUUCAAACUUGGGUAUGCUUGGCCUGGUCUUUUGGCCGUAAGAGCCGGCUCCCCAAUCAUCAUCCCUCCUUCACACCUGUUCACCUUCAGAGGGGAAAAAGGGGGGGGUUUGUCUUGCCCCCCUCAAGGGCUCGCUUUCCCCCACCUUCACCCCCUUUUUUUUUCCACCAAAAAGCACUUUACUGUCACAGAAUGU